ACCUCUUUAGAGGUUCGUGGUAGGAGAGCGUUCUAAGGGCGGUGAAGUCAGACCGGAAGGACUGGUGGAGCGCUUAGAAGUGAGAAUGCCGGUAUGAGUAGCGAAAGAAGGGGGAGAAUCCCUUCCACCGAAUAUCUAAGGUUUCCUGAGGAAGGCUCGUCCGCUCAGGGUUAGUCGGGACCUAAGCCGAGGCCGAUAGGCGUAGGCGAUGGACAACAGGUAGAGAUUCCUGUACCAGUG
Molecule: ribosomal RNA, 240 nt
Filed under: Listeria monocytogenes
Lineage: Bacteria; Bacillati; Bacillota; Bacilli; Caryophanales; Listeriaceae
Description: partial 23S ribosomal RNA
Rfam family: Bacterial large subunit ribosomal RNA
Source: RNAcentral